UGCGUAGGUGGUUGUUUAAGUCUGUUGUGAAAGCCCUGGGCUCAACCUGGGAACUGCAGUGGAAACUGGAUGACUAGAGUGUGGUAGAGGGUAGCGGAAUUCCCGGUGUAGCAGUGAAAUGCGUAGAGAUCGGGAGGAACAUCCAUGGCGAAGGCAGCUACCUGGACCAACACUGACACUGAGGUGCGAAAGCGUGGGGAGCAAACA
Molecule: ribosomal RNA, 207 nt
Filed under: uncultured bacterium
Lineage: Bacteria
Description: partial 16S ribosomal RNA
Rfam family: Bacterial small subunit ribosomal RNA
Source: RNAcentral